RNAcentral lists this long non-coding RNA (370 nucleotides) under Heterocephalus glaber (naked mole-rat). Its description in RNAcentral is "lncRNA (ENSHGLG00000044445.1)". The record is from RNAcentral. Lineage: Eukaryota; Metazoa; Chordata; Mammalia; Rodentia; Bathyergidae.
GUCCGUCCGUCAGUCCGUCCGUCCGGGUGGCGUUCACUGCCUGCCCUGCGCAGGCGCGCGAGGCCCGUGAGACAGAGGCUUCGCUCGCGGCUGUGCCCGGCUGCCUGGCUCCGUAAACGCCCGAGUGAGGGCCUCCACUCAGCACCCUACCCCGGCUGAAUCUGAGACUGGGAGAGCUUCCCCACCCACACGCCAUCCCAGAGGAAGAGCAAACACAGCCCGUGGAAAAUGAAGCCCUGUUCUGUGGGUCACAAAGGCAAACCCCCAGAAGAGAAGCCAACACGGAAGGCAGCAGGAUCGAGUCCCUAAAUCUCAAGCUCGCAGCGUGCAUGCUGUCCAGUGCUCCCGCUUGGAAAGUCAGAGAGGAAAG